CGCCCUUAGAGUUUGAUCCUGGCUCAGGAUGAACGCUAGCUACAGGCUUAACACAUGCAAGUCGAGGGGCAGCAUGAACUUAGCUUGCUAAGUUUGAUGGCGACCGGCGCACGGGUGAGUAACACGUAUCCAACCUUCCGUUUACUCAGGGAUAGCCUUUCGAAAGAAAGAUUAAUACCUGAUAGUAUGGUGAGAUUGCAUGAUAGCACCAUUAAAGAUUUAUUGGUAAACGAUGGGGAUGCGUUCCAUUAGGUAGUAGGCGGGGUAACGGCCCACCUAGCCGACGAUGGAUAGGGGUUCUGAGAGGAAGGUCCCCCACAUUGGAACUGAGACACGGUCCAAACUCCUACGGGAGGCAGCAGUGAGGAAUAUUGGUCAAUGGGCGAGAGCCUGAACCAGCCAAGUAGCGUGAAGGAUGAAGGUCCUACGGAUUGUAAACUUCUUUUAUACGGGAAUAAAGUAUCCUACGUGUAGGAUUUUGUAUGUACCGUAUGAAUAAGCAUCGGCUAACUCCGUGCCAGCAGCCGCGGUAAUACGGAGGAUGCGAGCGUUAUCCGGAUUUAUUGGGUUUAAAGGGAGCGCAGACGGGAGAUUAAGUCAGUUGUGAAAGUUUGCGGCUCAACCGUAAAAUUGCAGUUGAUACUGGUUUCCUUGAGUGCAGUUGAGGCAGGCGGAAUUCGUGGUGUAGCGGUGAAAUGCUUAGAUAUCACGAAGAACCCCGAUUGCGAAGGCAGCUUGCUAAACUGUAACUGACGUUCAUGCUCGAAAGUGUGGGUAUCAAACAGGAUUAGAUACCCUGGUAGUCCACACGGUAAACGAUGGAUACUCGCUGUUGGCGAUAUACUGUCAGCCGCCAAGCGAAAGCAUUAAGUAUCCCACCUGGGGAGUACGCCGGCAACGGUGAAACUCAAAUGAAUUGAC
RNAcentral lists this ribosomal RNA (921 nucleotides) under uncultured bacterium. Its description in RNAcentral is "bacterial SSU rRNA". It matches the Rfam family "Bacterial small subunit ribosomal RNA", at positions 1 to 914 of the family's 1533-position model. The record is from RNAcentral.